RNAcentral lists this ribosomal RNA (459 nucleotides) under uncultured bacterium. RNAcentral describes it as "partial 16S ribosomal RNA". It matches the Rfam family "Bacterial small subunit ribosomal RNA", at positions 338 to 795 of the family's 1533-position model. The record is from RNAcentral.
CCUACGGGCGGCAGCAGUGAGGAAUAUUGGUCAAUGGCCGAGAGGCUGAACCAGCCAAGUCGCGUGAGGGAAGACGGUCCUACGGGUUGUAAACCUCUUUUGUCGGGGAGCAAAGAGAGUCACGUGUGACUCAUUGAGAGUACCUGAAGAAAAAGCAUCGGCUAACUCCGUGCCAGCAGCCGCGGUAAUACGGAGGAUGCGAGCGUUAUCCGGAUUUAUUGGGUUUAAAGGGUGCGUAGGCGGGGGUUAAAGUCAGCGGUAAAAUCGCGGGGCUCAACCCCGUCCAGCCGUUGAAACUGCAGCCCUUGAGUGCGCGAGAAGUAUGCGGAAGGCGUGGUGUAGCGGUGAAAUGCAUAGAUAUCACGCAGAACUCCGAUUGCGAAGGCAGCAUACCGGCGCGCAACUGACGCUGAUGCACGAAAGCGUGGGUAUCGAACAGGAUUAGAUACCCCAGUAGUC